AAACAACGGAAAAUGACCUGAACUUCUUCACAAAUUAAAAGUUUAUAGUUUGAGUUUAUAAUAAAUUAAAUUAUGUAAUGAAGUCAAAAAUAAGGGAAAAUAGGUAUUCUUGACUUCUUACAAAGGCUACAUUUCCCUUAGAGCUUUCAUUCAAUCAAAGCAUCAGCUGAGAAGGCAAGAAGCCUCCAACCAGAACGGAUAUAGCCGCAUGGUCAUGUCCAUGUCCGUGCCCUGGCUAAAUCCAUUUGUCCAAAAAGCAUUACAGGAUUUAAUUUAAAAGUUUGCUACACUUUCCUAAAUGAAACAGCUGCGGAAAAGAAGAAGAGUGCGGGGAGAUGAGCAAUUAAAGCACAUGCAGCAAAUGAAAAUUUUUAACUCAAUAUAGAAAACGACUCGGUGAAUGA
Drosophila santomea is the source of this 404-nucleotide long non-coding RNA. RefSeq lists it as uncharacterized. The record is from RefSeq and is a predicted model, not a curated record. The transcript has 2 exons. Lineage: Eukaryota; Metazoa; Arthropoda; Insecta; Diptera; Drosophilidae.